CUAAGGUUUCUAUUACCUUAGGAUCACAACACUAACCACUAGCUUCUAAGGUUUCUAUUACCUUAGCUCAAGCCUCUAUCUCUAGCUCAUAAGGGUUCCUCUACCCUAUCAUAGCUAACCACCCGACUCGGCUUCGAGUCAAUCAUCCGCGGAUAGUCCGCGCACUGGCUGCUCAACAGCCUACCGCACUCUCUCUGACUCAGCCUCCUAGCAGCGAAAUCGUCGCACACGCUGAACACGGCUCGAGCCACAAGACCUAACCAUCGGUGGCGAUCGCGUUGCACUUACCCAGCGAGAGCUCGAGACCUGACAUACCAUCUGGCGGCGAACGAGUCGCACCACACCCAACAACGGUCAUGUCAGACUCAGUCACCUGGAGGCACCCGCAUCGUACUUACC
This 399-nucleotide long non-coding RNA is filed under the name Ananas comosus (pineapple). RNAcentral's name for it is "long non-coding RNA (ACOM_LNC040254)". Lineage: Eukaryota; Viridiplantae; Streptophyta; Magnoliopsida; Poales; Bromeliaceae. The record is from RNAcentral.